UAUUGAAUUUCUCAGAAUUUAUGUCUGUUGUGAGGCACAAUCAAGCAUAUUACAUUUGUAAGACAUCACUAAACCAUCGGAUUAGCUGUGAUUCUGUAUAGGAAGGUAUGGUUUUGGGAAGGAUUUGAUCAGGAACACCAGUGGCACCAGCAGGAGACUUGUCUCCUCUA
This 170-nucleotide long non-coding RNA is filed under the name Mus spicilegus (steppe mouse). Its description in RNAcentral is "lncRNA (ENSMSIG00000023813.1)". Lineage: Eukaryota; Metazoa; Chordata; Mammalia; Rodentia; Muridae. The record is from RNAcentral.